AGUGAACGCUGGCGGUAGGCCUAACACAUGCAAGUCGAACGGCAGCACCGUAAGAGCUUGCUCUUACGGGUGGCGAGUGGCGGACGGGUGAGGAAUACAUCGGACUCUACUUUUUCGUGGGGGUUAACGUAGGGAAACUUACGCUAAUACCGCAUACGACCUACGGGUGAAAGCAGGGGAUCUUCUGACCUUGCGCGAUUGAAUGAGCCGAUGUCGGAUUAGCUAGUUGGCGGGGUAAAGGCCCACCAAGGCGACGAUCCGUAGCUGGUCUGAGAGGAUGAUCAGCCACACUGGAACUGAGACACGGUCCAGACUCCUACGGGAGGGAGCAGUGGGGAAUAUUGGACAAUGGGCGCAAGCCUGAUCCAGCCAUACCGCGUGGGUGAAGAAGGCCUUCGGGUUGUAAAGCCCUUUUGUUGGGAAAGAAAAGCAGCAGGUUAAUACCCCGCUGUUCUGACGGUACCCAAAGAAUAAGCACCGGCUAACUUCGUG
Molecule: ribosomal RNA, 492 nt
Filed under: uncultured bacterium
Lineage: Bacteria
Description: partial 16S ribosomal RNA
Rfam family: Bacterial small subunit ribosomal RNA
Source: RNAcentral